UGGAUUUGGUCUUUAUCCCGGAGUCUGGCACAGAGCUCCUAAAACCUUUGGAACUUCCAGUGAAGAGAGUAAUAAGGGUGUCUUUUGUAAUGAGGUGGCUUUGCGAAGCAUCUCGGUAAUCUGAGGAUAGGGGCUGGGUGCCAGGGGCCCCAAGAGGUAAUUAGAGGUUUAGAACUUCCAGAUCUACAGGAAGGGGAGAGGGGUUGGAGGUUGGAUUAGUCACCAAAGUUUGAUGAUUUAAUCAGUCAUGGCUAUGAAAUGAAGCCUCCAUAAUAACCCCCAAAGGACAGGGCUUGGAGAACUUCCAGGUUGGUGAACACUUGGAGAUUUGGGGAGAGCACUGCCAAGAGAGGGCAUGGAAACUCCCUGCCCCUUCCCCAACCCUUGCCCUGUGCCUCUCUUCCAUCUGGCUGUUCCCCAAUUACAUCAUUUUAUAAGAAACCUAUAAUCCAGUAAAUAAAACGUGUAUCUGAGUUCUGUGAGUCACUCAUUGAACCCAAGGAAGGGGCUGUUGGAUCUGUAGCCAGUUGGUCAGACACACAGGUGACAAUCUGGACUUGAAAUUGGCAUCUGAAGGGGUAGGGGUUGGGGGCAGUCUUGUAGGACCCAACCCUUAACCUGUGUAAUCUGAUGCUGUCUCUGGGUAGACAGUGUCAGGGCUGAGUUGAAUUGUGAUGUCUGAGAAUUGCUUGGGGGGAGGAAAAAAACCCAAACCACAACACUGGAAUUGGGUGCAGAAUCAUUAUCUGCUGUGACAGGGAGGGGAUAGGGAGGCUGGAGGAGGGGUUGGGCCACAGCCUGAAGAGCACCCCAGGUGAGGCCUGUGGGGUAUUAACACCAUUCUGUAGGGAAAAAGAACACAGCACUGGCUGAUACCUGGAAGCCGGUACACACCAGGGUGCGCAGCAGGUUUCUUUUCAAAGUUCAGAAUUGGGCAAAAGAAAAUCAAGAUGGGAAGGAAGAGUUUUUAGGGUCAUGGAAACUUCAAGCUUGAGCUGAGUGGUAUUUGCUCGGGUGAAUGCAUUUGUAAAAAAAUCUACUGAGGCUGCUUUUAAACUCUGUGUCAUUUAUGUAAAAUAAAUCUCAAUAAAAGAAAAAGUGAGUGGGGACU
Molecule: long non-coding RNA, 1111 nt
Filed under: Bos mutus (wild yak)
Lineage: Eukaryota; Metazoa; Chordata; Mammalia; Artiodactyla; Bovidae
Description: lncRNA (ENSBMUG00000018419.1)
Source: RNAcentral